CCUACGGGAGGCAGCAGUGAGGAAUAUUGGUCAAUGGACGAGAGUCUGAACCAGCCAAGUAGCGUGAAGGAUGACUGCCCUAUGGGUUGUAAACUUCUUUUAUAUGGGAAUAAAACGUUCCACGUGUGGGAUUUUGUAUGUACCAUAUGAAUAAGGAUCGGCUAACUCCGUGCCAGCAGCCGCGGUAAUACGGAGGAUCCGAGCGUUAUACGGAUUUAUUGGGUUUAAAGGGAGCGUAGGUGGAUUGUUAAGUCAGUUGUGAAAGUUUGCGGCUCAACCGUAAAAUUGCAGUUGAAACUGGCAGUCUUGAGUACAGUAGAGGUGGGCGGGAUUCGUGGUGUAGCGGUGAAAUGCUUAGAUAUCACGAAGAACUCCGAUUGCGAAGGCAGUUCACUGGACUGCAACUGACACUGAGGCUCGAAAGUGUGGGUAUCAAACAGGAUUAGAUACCCCUGUAGUC
Molecule: ribosomal RNA, 460 nt
Filed under: uncultured bacterium
Lineage: Bacteria
Description: partial 16S ribosomal RNA
Rfam family: Bacterial small subunit ribosomal RNA
Source: RNAcentral